GCAGACACAUUCCAGCCAAUCAGCAGCAGACCCUCCCUCCCAGACCUUCCCACCUCCUGGACAGCAUCCAUUUUGAAGCUGCAUUCUUAGUGAGCUGUCCAGGAGGUGGGAGGGUCUGGGAGGGAGUGUCUGCUGCUGAUUGGCUGGAAUGUGUCUG
Pelobates cultripes (western spadefoot toad) is the source of this 157-nucleotide non-coding RNA. NCBI's taxonomy places the organism in Eukaryota, Metazoa, Chordata, Amphibia, Anura, Pelobatidae. The record is from the annotation of a GenBank genome assembly.